Telopea speciosissima is the source of this 355-nucleotide long non-coding RNA. RefSeq lists it as uncharacterized. The record is from RefSeq and is a predicted model, not a curated record. Lineage: Eukaryota; Viridiplantae; Streptophyta; Magnoliopsida; Proteales; Proteaceae. The transcript is spliced from 2 exons.
UAAAGGCUUUCCGACAUCGUGUCGAGUCAUCACUUGUGUUAGCGCCUCUUUGUUUAAUUUUUAUUUUGGAUUUUUUUUAUCCCUUAAAGCUUCUCUGAACCAGAGAGACAAUAGAGCAUUUUCUCUGCAAGUGCUCUUCCGACGUCGAAAGCAGAAUUACGCCUGAAACUAGUUCGAAAGCGAUAUAUAUUUAAAUUCUCUUGUUGAUGAUGUUUCGGGAGUAGCAAUCGAGGCAAGGUUGUAAAGCUUUAAAGGAUAUUGUGUUCAUCAUGUAAUAAGCAUAUUUAAGAGAUUGGUUUAGGACCGUUGGAUUCGACUGCUCCUAGCCUCCUUGCCUCCUUUAACCCAACUACGG